Molecule: long non-coding RNA, 2520 nt
Organism: Nematostella vectensis (starlet sea anemone)
Lineage: Eukaryota; Metazoa; Cnidaria; Anthozoa; Actiniaria; Edwardsiidae
Exons: 2
Source: RefSeq, a predicted model, not a curated record
CAUGAAAAAUGUCCCCUCCCACGAACUUGUGUGUUUUGCGUUGUAUUUACAGAAUGGCGUAAAAAACCGUUUUUGUUCAUGUCCAUUUCAAUGCGCUCGCAGUUUUCCGAACAUUAGUUCGCAUGCUCACCCAUGUUUUUUAGCUACGCUUGCAUUGAUUUUGGAAGUGCUCGCUGCUCGGUAAAAUUAAACAAAAACUAAUAUACAUACCAAGCCGGCGCAUCAGGUUUUUUUUUUAUAGAUGUAGCCUGCUACUUCAAGUAAAUGUCGAGAGGUGAGCGCAGCCCGCGAAGGAAGCAUUCUUUCAGAUUGUGGAGGUGCACAGGAGGCCCAAACCUAAAUAUUGCUGCGCAGGAGGCUAGCAGCUUCUAACAAAAGAAUUAACAAUAGGAAUACCCAAGUCCCCUAAAAUGAAGGCCCCUGUUAGCAUGACCGAGGGGCUCUGGGAACGAGUGUUAGCAUGACCGAGGAUAAAUCGGGAAGACUCCAGGUAUUUUACUAGCGGAUGACGCGGGACGACCCCAGAAAAACCACGAGUCUGCCCUUCAUACAAAACAACGGUGAAACUUGAGGUUUUCCGUAGUCUUACCCUGUGCGAUAACCCGUGGAAUACGCACCAAAUCUGGGUGACAAAACGGGGUGAGGAAAACUUGUGAAAACCUCGGAUUAAUUGGGAAGACUCCAGGUACUCUACUAGCGGAUGACGCGGGACGACCCCAAGUAAACUCGUCUCGCCUGACCCUGCGUAUUUUCAGGUUUUACCGCCGUAGAUAACUCGCGGUUUUAACUAGGUAAUCUUUGCUGCGAUGAUGACGGGAUGCCAUCAGACUCGCACACGACAAGGGAUGACGGGAUGCCAUCGGACUCGCAAGCGACAAAGGAUGACGAGAUGCCCUCGGACUCGCGCGUGACAAGGAGUGACAGGAGGUCAUGGAACUCUCAGGCGACAAGGGAUGAAGGGAUCUCCAUCGGACUCGCACGCUACAAGGGAUGACGGGAUGCCAUCGGACGUGCACGCUACAAGGGGUGACGGGAUGUCAUCGGACUCGCACGCGACAAGGGAUGACGGGAUGUCAUCGUACUCGCACGCGACAAGUGGUGCCGUGAUCCCAUCGGACUCGCACACACGAUAGGGGGUGACGGGUUGCCAUCGGCCUCGCGUGCUACAGUGGACGAUAGUUUGGAGUGACGCGGUGUCCAAGAUUUUGAGUAAAAAUUUACACGGUAUGCAAAGCUACGAACAGAAAGAGUUACAUAGCCUAUAUAAUUCUCAUUUGGUUUUUAGCUCUUACCAACUUGGAUAGUUUGCGCUUUAUUGGCGCUCCAAAUUUUCGCCACAUUUGCACAUGGCUGUGCCUGGGAUGUUCCACUUGACGAACUUGCAUCGACCACGCAUCCUUUCUCCGGUUAACACCCACACUUAGAAGCAACAACUGACAAACACUGACAGCUCUGGGAGGGUCCAGACAGGCUCCCACUGUCGACGGCUGGUUUAUUGUCCCCAGAUGUCAGAUGGUGAAGAGAUUGUAGGACCAGCGAUGUAAGCAGCGCGCAAAACGUGUUGAAGCAAAGCAGCAUAUAUUGGUGAACGAACCCCUAUUUUGUUUCUCUUUUGGAAGAUGUCUGCCCUUGCCGCAUCCCCGCCAGAAAAGUGCAAGUGCGACCGAAAAUUAUAACUACAAAUAGCUUCAGAUGUGUAGGCUCCUUGUCAGGGAUGCUGCUGGUGCGACCAUACAUUAUAACUACAAAGAGCUCAGGGUUGUCGGGAUGCUGCCGAGUGAGAACAGCAUUCUGACAUCUUCACGAACGCCCCAGGUAUCCUUUUUCUUUCCUCUGUUGUAGAACGAAGACAUUUGAUCGCACCAGUUAGUUAAUCUGAGCCUUGCUCGCUGAGCAGCUUAUAGCCCAAGGAAUUGAAAUAAGAUUUUCCCAGUUUUCGAGUUUGAUAAAACAGAAAAAAGACUUGAGUUUUUUUUGUAGAAAAAAUCAUCCUAUGAGAAGCUAUGUAUUUAACGUAAAUGAAUGCUUUGCAUGGGUUCAGUAUUGUGUUUGUUUGGCAUGUAAUUGUACUUCAAACCGAAAUUUCUCUAGAAUUGCUGCAAGUAUGAUAAAAUAGGCGCGUCAAGCAAUUUUAUAUUAUAGAAAACAAUCCUUUUAAUCAAACUGCAAGGUUUUCAGGAAUGUACCAUUUUUUGAAAUGUACUUUGUUUUCAUUCAAAAAGGGUUUAUUUUAUUACAUCCCAAUAACACUGUAAGUUCACGAAAUUGGGCGUGGCGUCCUAAUAAGAACUAAUCACCAUAAAGCAAAUAAACAUUUCGCGUGACUUUAGAUAUGUGUGUAUGUCUGUCAUGUGUUUAUAAUCAUAAACGUCUAUUCUCUAGAAGUGCUGUAAGUAAUACCAAGAAGGCGUGUCUUACGAACUGAUAUUAUAGAAGACGUUUAUUGUUAUCAGAUAGCAAGUUUUUAGUCCUGUAUCAUUCCAUUAAUUGGACAUUUUCUUCAUUAAAAGGUUAAUUAUA